Molecule: long non-coding RNA, 2532 nt
Filed under: Pelobates cultripes (western spadefoot toad)
Lineage: Eukaryota; Metazoa; Chordata; Amphibia; Anura; Pelobatidae
Source: RNAcentral
GUCGGCACAUAACAUCAUCCAAGCAUCGGCGUCAUAUUACAGGAUGUGCAAGGGACGUGUGCAUGAAGAGCACAGAGAUCCCAGCAGAAACCACUGACUACCAGGGACUGAGGAUCCACUCUAGCCCUCCCAGAGCAAGGUAGGGAGGCUGGGUGGACCUCUUAAUUAUUAAAUGUGUGCAUGUAUGUGAUGUUUGCGUGUGUAAACAAAGAUUGACGUUAAGAGGUGUCAGCUAGCCCACGAACAAGAAAUCUGGGUGGCUAAUGUGAAUUAUAUGCAAAUUUGUUGACUGAUGCCAAUGUGCACUGCAUGCUGGCAUCAGGCAGCCAAUGGCAGCACAUUAUCCCAUCCCCUAGUGAAAAGUUUUAGUGCCCCCCCAGUUUGGAUUGUGGUAUCUUAUGUGCCCACCCCCUAUAUAUUGUUCCUAUGUGUCUAUGUAUCUGCAUGUGUGUCAAUGUGUAUUUAGGUGUGUGUAUGUGUAUAUGUGCAUACAUCUCAGAAUCUCGCCAACACCACACACAAAUACACCCCUGCAUUUCAAUGUCAACACUACAUACAAACUCCACCAUUAUAUAUAACCACCCCACUGCCUUCAAACACCACACUACAUAAAAAUGCAUGCCUGCAUUCAAACGCCAACACCACAUACAGACACACAUCCUACAUUCACUCAAACAUACUCCAUACAAAAACAUGCUUACAUUUAAAAGCAUAAACACUGCUUAGUGCUAAAUACAUUUUUUUUUUUUUAAAUUGUGGUUGUUUUUUACAUUUUAAAGUUGGGGUUUGGAGGGGGGGGCAAAAAUAGGACCGCCCCAGGUAAUGCUCUAGGUACGCCCCUGAUUAGGACAUAGGGGGUUAUAGUGUUAACAGUGUGUCUUGAAAGCAAACCUGUGGCUUGGGGGGCAUUCCCUUAAUGAAAUGAAGGCAAUCAUUUCUCAUGAAGAGCCAAGGCUAUGCUUGAAUAAAAUCCUCCCUUUAGUGCUGGGCAUGUAAAUACAGUCACAAUUCACAUAAAUUGUAGUUUUUUUUAAAUGCACAGCAAUAAAGGGAGGAUUUUUUUUCAAUAGCGAUGGCUAUUCAGGAAAAAUUAUUGCCUGAUGAUUUUGCAUGCGCUGGUGCGGAAAAAGCCAUCCCAAUCAGUUCUGAAGCAUUGUAUGGGACUCAAGCAUUAUGUUACAAUGUCGCAAUAGCAAUAUUGUGUCCAUCACCAUCUUUGGAAGAUAUGAGUAAGUGGCGUCUAUGGGUACAGACCGAGGCUUCCUAUUCUUUAAAGGGGAAAUCUAACAUAGGAAACGUGUGUUUCUAACAAUAGCAUUUCAUCAUGCCAGUUUUAGAAUUACAGGUCUUACUGGAAGAGUACGAUAAAGAGGUUUUGCUUUCAGUGCCAUACUGAGCCAGUUUCACCAUGUCCACCACUUCGCCCCAGGCUGAGGUCAUCAUUACUGAUCAUCUCGGCCAAUCCAAUGUUUCUUCGUAAAGAAGCAUUAGGGAUCCCACUGUCCAUGUGCACGAAUUGCAGGAACCACCUCUAGUGGCUGUUUGAUUGACAGCCACUAGAGGCAUCCUUAGGGACACAUGUAUACACUGACAGUAUUCACUAAUUAGAGACUGCGGAAGAGGCUAUUUACACCAAAAUCACUACAUUAAGCUGUAGUGGUUCUGGUGCUUAGAGUGUCGUUGUAAGUGUAGUACUCUGAAUUUAGCAGCCAGGUAGGAAAAAUAAGAGUGAAAUCUACUCAAUAACAGUUUAUUUCUUCAUCCUGGCAUGUUAAGACCUGCAUCACCAUUCAAGCAUAAGAUAUAAAGGAGAGGUUUAUGAAAGAUGCAUCAAGACUAGCCAUGGAUCUUAUUGCAUGUGUGCUGAGAGAUGCAGCUGAGAGACCAAGAGUCACAAGGCAGCUAGAAACACACUUAUAUUCUGCUUUUAUCUUUAUCCGAAAAAAUAAAAAAUAAUUGUAUUGUUUAGGGAAUCUUCUGCAAAAAUGUCUUUAUGUGUUGUGAUAUAUUCUGAUGGAAUCUUUGUAAAGCAAAAUACCAUCUUGUUUGUUUAUGACUCUGGGGGCUGUUUCAAGAAAGACAAAAUGGUACAGGUGGAACUAUGCUUCAUUCCAUUUCAUUUCAGGAGUAGUUGGCAAUGAUUGGCAUCAGCCAGUCACUGUCUCAAUCCUUGUAAUGAACUGGUAUGACUGAAGGCAUAAGCACACUUGUAAGAAAUGACUUUCUUAGCACAUAAUCUUUGAUCUUUAAUUUUUCAGAUAUAAGUGAUAUGCUUCUCCAGGACCCAAGAAACAACUCUCUAAGAUGGUGGCUGGGCUGGAUUAGGACUGCUCAUCCUUUGAGGAGCCCUCUUGUGAUGCCAUCAAUGACUUCCCUCUCUUUGGGUUAGAAUGGCAAGACUCCAGCAACCAAGAACGACAUUAAAGCCCUCUUAAAAGACAUCUGCUCUCUGUUUUUUGUUAAGCUUGAGAAAGACCGUGCAGGUUGAAACGUUGUGAGUGGCAGUGGGUUCAAUAAAUUUGCCUUUUUGUA